This 305-nucleotide ribosomal RNA is filed under the name uncultured bacterium. RNAcentral's name for it is "bacterial SSU rRNA". It matches the Rfam family "Bacterial small subunit ribosomal RNA", at positions 335 to 632 of the family's 1533-position model. The record is from RNAcentral.
GGUCCUACGGGAGGCAGCAGUGGGGAAUAUUGCGCAAUGGGCGAAAGCCUGACGCAGCGACGCCGCGUGAGGAAUGAAGGUCUUCGGAUCGUAAACCUCUGUCAGCAGGGAAGAACGGUCACUGUGCUAAUCAGCAGUGAAUUGACGGUACCUGCAAAGGAAGCACCGGCUAACUCCGUGCCAGCAGCCGCGGUAAUACAUAGGGGGCAAGCGUUAUCCGGAAUUAUUGGGUGUAAAGGGUGCGUAGACGGAAGAACAAGUUGGAUGUGAAAUGCCUCAGCUCAACUGAGGAACUGCAACCAAAA